This 258-nucleotide ribosomal RNA is filed under the name uncultured bacterium. RNAcentral's name for it is "partial small subunit ribosomal RNA". It matches the Rfam family "Bacterial small subunit ribosomal RNA", at positions 26 to 285 of the family's 1533-position model. The record is from RNAcentral.
AGGACGAACGCUGGCGGCGUGCUUAACACAUGCAAGUCGAGCGGUGAUCCUCCUUCGGGAGGUGAUCAGCGGCGAACGGGUGAGUAACACGUGGGCAACCUGCCCCUCACACUGGGAUAACCUCGGGAAACCGGGGCUAAUACCGGAUACGACCUCGAGCGGCAUCUCUUGAGGUGGAAAGCUCCGACGGUGAGGGAUGGGCCCGCGGCCUAUCAGCUUGUUGGUGGGGUAAUGGCCUACCGAAGGCGACGACGGGUA